AUAGGUCGUAUGAAUAAAACCGAGUACUUGCUCAUGCUCAACCCGAUUUGAGCAAAGUAAAGUCUCUGAGCAUUUACUCAAAACCGUAUGAAUAAAACAAUACUUUGCUCAGAGUAAGUUCGAAUUUCGAACUUAGCAUUUACUCUGUCAAAAAUGUUGUUUUUGUUUUGGAUAGCGAGGAAGAAUAAUUCCAUCGGUGAAAACAGUAUGUACCUUCGCGGAUUUUAAACGUAUUUGGUCGUUUGUUACCGGCUGCUGAAGCAUACAAAACCCUGAGAAAACUCAACCGGGAAGAAAUUGAAGGUAUCCUGUGUCGCCCGUUGGUAUCUCAAUCGAUGAUGUUGCUGCAGAGUGUGGUAACCGAUCCGUCUGAUUAUCGAUCGGCUCAAUCCUACCUUGCGCCGCAUAAGUCACCGAUGGAUGUAACCGGUCCGUACGCAACGCCCUUAUCGAUGGGGUCAGUUAAAGAACCAAAAUAUGCCCAGGAAGGUCAAAAGCUCAUCAAGUGACCCUGCGAGGCGGAUUGCUUUGGCGACAGGCAACAUAUAUGCAGCACCAUCAAAAUGUGAAACAAAUACCUACAAUAAUUUUGGCGUCAACUUCCGUGGGUAUCAAUAUUCAAGAAGCCACCCACAUCAGGUGACCGGAUUGGCUACUAGUGAAGGAGGGUCCAUGGGAUGAAGCUAUGGGCCCAUAAUAGACUGCAUAAUACUGAAUAAAUCAUACUUCCAAACAUAA
Molecule: long non-coding RNA, 738 nt
Organism: Aedes aegypti (yellow fever mosquito)
Lineage: Eukaryota; Metazoa; Arthropoda; Insecta; Diptera; Culicidae
Exons: 2
Source: RefSeq, a predicted model, not a curated record